AUGAACGCUGGCGGCGUGCCUCAUACAUGCCAGUCGAGCGAACGGACGAGAAGCUUGCUUCUCUGAUGUUAGCGGCGGACGGGUGAGUAACACGUGGAUAACCUACCUAUAAGACUGGGAUAACUUCGGGAAACCGUAGCUAAUACCGGAUAAUAUUUUGAACCGCAUGGUUCAAAAGUGAAAGACGGUCUUGCUGUCACUUAUAGAUGGAUCCGCGCUGCAUUAGCUAGUUGGUAAGGUAACGGCUUACCAAGGCAACGAUGCAUAGCCGACCUGAGAGGGUGAUCGGCCACACUGGAACUGAGACACGGUCCAGACUCCUACGGGAGGCAGCAGUAGGGAAUCUUCCGCAAUGGGCGAAAGCCUGACGGAGCAACGCCGCGUGAGUGAUGAAGGUCUUCGGAUCGUAAAACUCUGUUAUUAGGGAAGAACAUAUGUGUAAGUAACUGUGCACAUCUUGACGGUACCUAAUCAGAAAGCCACGGCUAACUACGUG
RNAcentral lists this ribosomal RNA (496 nucleotides) under uncultured bacterium. Its description in RNAcentral is "partial 16S ribosomal RNA". It matches the Rfam family "Bacterial small subunit ribosomal RNA", at positions 29 to 507 of the family's 1533-position model. The record is from RNAcentral.